UGAUAUAUAUGCUGAAAUGUGUGU
RNAcentral lists this non-coding RNA (24 nucleotides) under Arabidopsis thaliana (thale cress). The record is from RNAcentral. Lineage: Eukaryota; Viridiplantae; Streptophyta; Magnoliopsida; Brassicales; Brassicaceae.